This 750-nucleotide long non-coding RNA is filed under the name Equus caballus (horse). RNAcentral describes it as "lncRNA (ENSECAG00000054123.1)". The record is from RNAcentral. Lineage: Eukaryota; Metazoa; Chordata; Mammalia; Perissodactyla; Equidae.
AAUGAGAAGCACCUGCACAAGGUCCGGAGGAAAGAAAAGCAGCCGAGGCCAUUUUCUCGUUCUCCAGGUAGCAGUCGGUGGAUGCGUGGGUUUCGGCAGACGUGGCCAGCAGCCUCUGGCGUCUUCCUGUGAGUCCUCUGCCUCAGGUUGCACCGUAUAAUCCAGCCCAGUGGUUUUCAAAGCAUCGCCAGCAUCACCUGGGAACUUGCGACAAUGAACAUUCUUGGACCCGCUCCAGACCUCCACAUCCAGAAACGCUGGAGGACACACCUCAUUCUACUUGGAACGUUGCCCCCUGACACGUGGUCACGUCCCCAUCACUCAUUCACCCACGUCUUUGACAUGACUUCUUCCAAGAAAACGACAUUGCUUUUCCAAGCUUGAGAUGACAUUCUCUGAGCUCAUCUCCACUUGGACCGGCUGCAUUUCCAGUGUUCGUCAGUCCUCCGUGGGCAGCGGCUGCUGCGUGAGCCCAGCUCCAGUGUCUGUAGACCAGCGGUUAACACAUACACGCUUCACCGCACAACUUUCCAUAGCCAUUGACAUGCUGGCGUGCACCGUGCACGCUUAGGCAACACCAUUUGGCACUACCCCACGUGACACUCUUAGGAAAAACUUCUUUACGCCAUUGGGUUUUGAAGACACGGGUGAUAAAUGACUUAGAGCCCCGGAUUUUACUCCCACCUCUGCCACUUACCAGGGAGUCAGUAUCACACCGGACACUUAACCUUCUUAAAUUUGUCCCCUCAU